RNAcentral lists this ribosomal RNA (450 nucleotides) under uncultured bacterium. RNAcentral describes it as "partial 16S ribosomal RNA". It matches the Rfam family "Bacterial small subunit ribosomal RNA", at positions 354 to 796 of the family's 1533-position model. The record is from RNAcentral.
GUCGAGAAUAAUUCACAAUGGACGAAAGUCUGAUGGUGCAACGCCGCGUGGAGGAUGAAGGUCUUCGGAUUGUAAACUCCUGUCAUCGGGGAGUAAGACCUGGCGGUAAAUAGCCGACAGGGUUGAUAGUACCCGAAGAGGAAGGGACGGCUAACUUCGUGCCAGCAGCCGCGGUAAUACGAAGGUCCCAAGCGUUGUUCGGAAUCACUGGGCGUAAAGGGAGCGUAGGCGGCGUGGUAAGUCAGAUGUGAAAUCCCGGGGCUCAACCCCGGAACUGCAUGCGAUACUGCCAUGCUUGAGGGUUGGAGAGGUAGCUGGAAUUCUCGGUGUAGCAGUGAAAUGCGUGGAUAUCGAGAGGAACACUCGUGGCGAAGGCGAGUUACUGGACAGCAUCUGACGCUGAGGCACGAAGGCCAGGGGAGCGAAAGGGAUUAGAAACCCCGGUAGUCC